RNAcentral lists this long non-coding RNA (570 nucleotides) under Equus caballus (horse). RNAcentral's name for it is "lncRNA (ENSECAG00000058258.1)". Lineage: Eukaryota; Metazoa; Chordata; Mammalia; Perissodactyla; Equidae. The record is from RNAcentral.
AAAGGAAAAAAAUAAAAUCUUUAAAAAAGAUAAAAAAAAGAAUCUUAUCAUGCCACACCUGGUAAGGGCUUGGAGCCGCCUGUCCUGCGCAGAGACCCCCUGGGCAGGGCGUCGCAGGGUGGAGCCUUAUGUAAAUAUCCUCAAGCUCUAGGUUGAGUCAUUUCUUCCACCACACCCCUUCUGCUCACUCCUUCCUCCCACAGUGAGAUGAAACCCGUCCACCGGUGGGGGAAGGGGGGGUAAGUGGCAGAAGAAGAGGGGGCUUCAAAACUGAGUCUAGGAUAUCGUGCCACCAGGGAAAUUGUCCAUUAUCAGUCUCUCUUCAACGGACCUGCUUGGAAACACAAAUAUGUCCAGGAAGAUUAGCCCUGAGCUAACGACUGCCAAUCCUCCUCUUUUUGCUGAGGAAGACUGGCCCUGAGCUACCAUCCAUGCCCAUCUUCCUCUACUUUAUAUGUGGGAUGCCUACCGCAGCAUGGCAUGCCAAGCGGUGCCAUGUCUGCACCCAGGAUCCGAACCGGCGAACCCAGGGCCGCCGAGAAGUGGAACGUGCAAACUUAACCACUGCGC